RNAcentral lists this ribosomal RNA (2899 nucleotides) under Klebsiella pneumoniae. RNAcentral describes it as "23S ribosomal RNA". It matches the Rfam family "Bacterial large subunit ribosomal RNA". Lineage: Bacteria; Pseudomonadati; Pseudomonadota; Gammaproteobacteria; Enterobacterales; Enterobacteriaceae. The record is from RNAcentral.
UUAAGCGACUAAGCGUACACGGUGGAUGCCCUGGCAGUCAGAGGCGAUGAAGGACGUGCUAAUCUGCGAAAAGCGUCGGUAAGGUGAUAUGAACCGUUAUAACCGGCGAUGUCCGAAUGGGGAAACCCAGUGCAAUUCGUUGCACUAUCGUUAACUGAAUACAUAGGUUAACGAGGCGAACCGGGGGAACUGAAACAUCUAAGUACCCCGAGGAAAAGAAAUCAACCGAGAUUCCCCCAGUAGCGGCGAGCGAACGGGGAGCAGCCCAGAGUCUGAAUCAGCUUGUGUGUUAGUGGAACGGUCUGGAAAGUCCGACGGUACAGGGUGAUAGUCCCGUACACCAAAAUGCACAGGUUGUGAACUCGAAGAGUAGGGCGGGACACGUGGUAUCCUGUCUGAAUAUGGGGGGACCAUCCUCCAAGGCUAAAUACUCCUGACUGACCGAUAGUGAACCAGUACCGUGAGGGAAAGGCGAAAAGAACCCCGGCGAGGGGAGUGAAAAAGAACCUGAAACCGUGUACGUACAAGCAGUGGGAGCACCUUCGGGUGUGACUGCGUACCUUUUGUAUAAUGGGUCAGCGACUUAUAUUCUGUAGCAAGGUUAACCGUAUAGGGGAGCCGCAGGGAAACCGAGUCUUAACUGGGCGUUAAGUUGCAGGGUAUAGACCCGAAACCCGGUGAUCUAGCCAUGGGCAGGUUGAAGGUUGGGUAACACUAACUGGAGGACCGAACCGACUAAUGUUGAAAAAUUAGCGGAUGACUUGUGGCUGGGGGUGAAAGGCCAAUCAAACCGGGAGAUAGCUGGUUCUCCCCGAAAGCUAUUUAGGUAGCGCCUCGUGAAUUCAUCUUCGGGGGUAGAGCACUGUUUCGGCUAGGGGGUCAUCCCGACUUACCAACCCGAUGCAAACUACGAAUACCGAAGAAUGUUAUCACGGGAGACACACGGCGGGUGCUAACGUCCGUCGUGAAGAGGGAAACAACCCAGACCGCCAGCUAAGGUCCCAAAGUCAUGGUUAAGUGGGAAACGAUGUGGGAAGGCACAGACAGCCAGGAUGUUGGCUUAGAAGCAGCCAUCAUUUAAAGAAAGCGUAAUAGCUCACUGGUCGAGUCGGCCUGCGCGGAAGAUGUAACGGGGCUAAACCAUGCACCGAAGCUGCGGCAGCGACACUAUGUGUUGUUGGGUAGGGGAGCGUUCUGUAAGCCUGCGAAGGUGUGCUGUGAGGCAUGCUGGAGGUAUCAGAAGUGCGAAUGCUGACAUAAGUAACGAUAAAGCGGGUGAAAAGCCCGCUCGCCGGAAGACCAAGGGUUCCUGUCCAACGUUAAUCGGGGCAGGGUGAGUCGACCCCUAAGGCGAGGCCGAAAGGCGUAGUCGAUGGGAAACAGGUUAAUAUUCCUGUACUUGGUGUUACUGCGAAGGGGGGACGGAGAAGGCUAUGUUAGCCGGGCGACGGUUGUCCCGGUUUAAGCAUGUAGGCUGGUUGUCCAGGCAAAUCCGGAUAAUCAAGGCUGAGGUGUGAUGACGAGGCACUACGGUGCUGAAGUAACAAAUGCCCUGCUUCCAGGAAAAGCCUCUAAGCAUCAGGUAACAUCAAAUCGUACCCCAAACCGACACAGGUGGUCAGGUAGAGAAUACCAAGGCGCUUGAGAGAACUCGGGUGAAGGAACUAGGCAAAAUGGUGCCGUAACUUCGGGAGAAGGCACGCUGGUGUGUAGGUGAAGUCCCUGCGGAUGGAGCUGAGACCAGUCGAAGAUACCAGCUGGCUGCAACUGUUUAUUAAAAACACAGCACUGUGCAAACACGAAAGUGGACGUAUACGGUGUGACGCCUGCCCGGUGCCGGAAGGUUAAUUGAUGGGGUUAUCCGUAAGGAGAAGCUCUUGAUCGAAGCCCCGGUAAACGGCGGCCGUAACUAUAACGGUCCUAAGGUAGCGAAAUUCCUUGUCGGGUAAGUUCCGACCUGCACGAAUGGCGUAAUGAUGGCCAGGCUGUCUCCACCCGAGACUCAGUGAAAUUGAACUCGCUGUGAAGAUGCAGUGUACCCGCGGCAAGACGGAAAGACCCCGUGAACCUUUACUAUAGCUUGACACUGAACAUUGAGCCUUGAUGUGUAGGAUAGGUGGGAGGCUUUGAAGCGUGGACGCCAGUCUGCGUGGAGCCAACCUUGAAAUACCACCCUUUAAUGUUUGAUGUUCUAACGUUGGCCCCUGACCGGGGUUGCGGACAGUGUCUGGUGGGUAGUUUGACUGGGGCGGUCUCCUCCCAAAGCGUAACGGAGGAGCACGAAGGUUAGCUAAUCCUGGUCGGACAUCAGGAGGUUAGUGCAAUGGCAUAAGCUAGCUUGACUGCGAGCGUGACGGCGCGAGCAGGUGCGAAAGCAGGUCAUAGUGAUCCGGUGGUUCUGAAUGGAAGGGCCAUCGCUCAACGGAUAAAAGGUACUCCGGGGAUAACAGGCUGAUACCGCCCAAGAGUUCAUAUCGACGGCGGUGUUUGGCACCUCGAUGUCGGCUCAUCACAUCCUGGGGCUGAAGUAGGUCCCAAGGGUAUGGCUGUUCGCCAUUUAAAGUGGUACGCGAGCUGGGUUUAGAACGUCGUGAGACAGUUCGGUCCCUAUCUGCCGUGGGCGCUGGAGAAUUGAGGGGGGCUGCUCCUAGUACGAGAGGACCGGAGUGGACGCAUCACUGGUGUUCGGGUUGUCAUGCCAAUGGCACUGCCCGGUAGCUAAAUGCGGAAGAGAUAAGUGCUGAAAGCAUCUAAGCACGAAACUUGCCCCGAGAUGAGUUCUCCCUGAGACUUUAAGUCUCCUGAAGGAACGUUGAAGACGACGACGUUGAUAGGCCGGGUGUGUAAGCGCAGCGAUGCGUUGAGCUAACCGGUACUAAUGAACCGUGAGGCUUAACCU